This 75-nucleotide transfer RNA is filed under the name Sphaerodactylus townsendi. RNAcentral describes it as "tRNA-Thr". It matches the Rfam family "tRNA". From Rfam's summary of the family: Transfer RNA (tRNA) molecules are approximately 80 nucleotides in length. Lineage: Eukaryota; Metazoa; Chordata; Lepidosauria; Squamata; Sphaerodactylidae. The record is from RNAcentral.
GGAGAGGCUGUGGCUCAAUGGUAAAGCAUCGGCUUUGUAUGCCGAAGGUCCCAGGUUCACACCCCAACAUCUCCA